AUUGAACGCUGGCGGCAUGCCUUACACAUGCAAGUCGAACGGCAGCACGGGUGCUUGCACCUGGUGGCGAGUGGCGCACGGGUGAGUAAUACAUCGGAACAUGUCCUGUAGUGGGGGAUAGCCCGGCGAAAGCCGGAUUAAUACCGCAUACGAUCUACGGAUGAAAGCGGGGGCCCUUCGGGCCUCGCGCUAUAGGGUUGGCCGAUGGCUGAUUAGCUAGUUGGUGGGGUAAAGGCCUACCAAGGCGACGAUCAGUAGCUGGUCUGAGAGGACGACCAGCCACACUGGGACUGAGACACGGCCCAGACUCCUACGGGAGGCAGCAGUGGGGAAUUUUGGACAAUGGGCGAAAGCCUGAUCCAGCAAUGCCGCGUGUGUGAAGAAGGCCUUCGGGUUGUAAAGCACUUUUGUCCGGAAAGAAAUCCUUGGCUCUAAUACAGUCGGGGGAUGACGGUACCGGAAGAAUAAGCACCGGCUAACUACGUG
Molecule: ribosomal RNA, 486 nt
Filed under: uncultured bacterium
Lineage: Bacteria
Description: partial 16S ribosomal RNA
Rfam family: Bacterial small subunit ribosomal RNA
Source: RNAcentral